UACGUAGGGGGCUAGCGUUGUCCGGAAUCAUUGGGCGUAAAGAGCGUGUAGGCGGCCCGGUAAGUCCGCUGUAAAAGUCAAAGGCUCAACCUUUGAAUGUCAGUGGAUACUGCCGGGCUAGAGUCCGGAAGAGGCGAGUGGAACUCCUGGUGUAGCGGUGGAAUGCGCAGAUAUCAGGAAGAACACCGAUGGCGAAGGCAGUUCUCUGGGCCGUAACUGACGCUGAGGAGCGAAAGCGUGGGGAGCGAACAGG
RNAcentral lists this ribosomal RNA (253 nucleotides) under uncultured bacterium. Its description in RNAcentral is "partial 16S ribosomal RNA". It matches the Rfam family "Bacterial small subunit ribosomal RNA", at positions 524 to 776 of the family's 1533-position model. The record is from RNAcentral.